ACACUCCUGCGGGAGGCAGCAGUGGGGAAUCUUGCGCAAUGGGCGAAAGCCUGACGCAGCCAUGCCGCGUGAAUGAUGAAGGUCUUAGGAUUGUAAAAUUCUUUCACCGGGGACGAUAAUGACGGUACCCGGAGAAGAAGCCCCGGCUAACUUCGUGCCAGCAGCCGCGGUAAUACGAAGGGGGCUAGCGUUGCUCGGAAUUACUGGGCGUAAAGGGAGCGUAGGCGGACAUUUAAGUCAGGGGUGAAAUCCCGGGGCUCAACCUCGGAAUUGCCUUUGAUACUGGGUGUCUUGAAUAUGAGAGAGGUGUGUGGAACUCCGAGUGUAGAGGUGAAAUUCGUAGAGAUUCGGAAGAACACCAGUGGCGAAGGCGACACACUGGCUCAUUACUGACGCUGAGGCUCGAAAGCGUGGGGAGCAAACAGGAUUAGAUACCCCAGUAGUCCCAUG
Molecule: ribosomal RNA, 450 nt
Filed under: uncultured organism
Description: partial 16S ribosomal RNA
Rfam family: Bacterial small subunit ribosomal RNA
Source: RNAcentral